AUAGCCUGGUCUUCCCCUUAAUGAUUCUUCCUUUUCAGGGUCUUUUAUUGAACCUUUUCCUCUAAUAUACACCCGACACCCUGUAGAAGCUUCCACUCGCUUCAACGAAUUGCCCCUAGGUCCCAAAAGCCGGCCUACAAAAUUGAACUAAAAUCCGGAAAGAAAUCAAAUGUUAUACUUAUUAAUCCAUAUUGUACGAAAACCCAAAAUCUUAUGGAAGUAUAAAUUUUUACACGGAUAUCAAUGUAAAGCAUCCCAAGUAGAAUAUAUAACUUACAUUUGGAUAACUAUCAACAGGAAUAUCCAAACGCAAGAUUUUCUUCACAAUAUAAGAACUUGGGCUUGCUGGUGCUGCUUGCCAGUUCAUAUUCAUCCCCUGCAGUCCUAAUCUCUGCCAUAUAAUGAACAUGAUGUCAUACUAUAGUAACUGGAAUUAAUAUAUUUAUUGGAAUUAGAAAGAGGAAAAAGAGCCAGCAAGAUCAAGGAAAAAUGGGAAGCAAAGUCAUUGCAACUCAUGUAUACAGGUAUACAAUACAAGUGAUAUGCAAGAUACAUCCACUUUGCAAGUAAUGAUGAUGAGCACUAGCAGUAUUGGUUUGACCAGCAAGCCAUGUUAUGCAGCGUUAUGAUGGAGCAAGGACCAAUGUACGUGAAAUGAGAAACCAUGACAGACACUGAAAACUUUUGUCCAAUUGAAGAAUACUCACUUGCUAACUGGAGCAAAAUUUAUACAUCCCUCAAACCACCAAGACAUAGGUUCUUGAAGAAAGUAGAAAGAUUUGCCAAGCAGCCUUCUAAAACAAACCAUAACUUACAAUGUCUUAGUAAAAAGAGUACCUAGGCACAUCUCAUUAAGGAAAAUUGAUAUUGUACAAUAUAUAUCGACUUUGUUUCUUAUUUAAGACUUGUCAAAUUCUUGUUAAUUCACGCAAAUAAAUUUUCUGGGCUGGAACGUGUGAGUGAAUGUGAAUUAACCAUAUUAUUUUAGACAGAACAAGCAAUACAAACAGGAAUGCCAAUUGCUGAACUAAGGGACUGCAUUCAAAUUAGUUCCGAAAAACUUACCUCCUGUGGUAGUCCAUUCCACCCAAUGAUCCCUGUUCCGCUAUUAUUUGGCAAUAUGUCUGAAGAAGCCAUGGAGCUCAAGCUUCCACGUUGCAGUCUAUCAAAGUCAUUUAACCCCAGGUUGGGGAUCAUUCCAGAAACCCUCAAUAUCUCUGCUUACAUAGAAGAGUGAUAUGCUAAACUUUUUCCUUUCAAGAUCUCUUGAAUAAAAAAGAUGAAAAUUCAUAAACUGUUCACCAUUUUCUUUGUGAAGUUUGCGUAUUUAUAACUAAGAGGUCACAAAGAUAAGUAAAAUGAAGUGUGAACAACACAGAAAACUUACAUGUCAACAAGACAGCUAUUUAAAAUAAUCAUCAAACAAUUAACAAUAGAAGUUAAGAAAAAAUAUUUUUUUUUUGCAUAAUUUGAGAGUAGACACCACAUUGAGUUUUGAGACAUGUUCUCCACAAAUGUGAUCCCAUAAAUUCAAACUAGAAGAGGAGGAUUUAUGCAAUGAAAAUGUUGAUGAAGUUCAAUUCAAGGUACUAAAUUCAUAAUUUAACAAGAUAGACCACUUUGGACUCCUGCAGAACUGCAAUUUGUCAUAAUUUCUACUCCUGAAACUUGAUAUACCUGCAGAUCGUGAUCCACUUCAAUUGUGAUGACUGACCUUGGAAUGGACAAAUUAAUUAACCAGCCCUCCUAUCUCCUAUUAAUUUAACCAAGAUCAAUUAGAUAUGGCUCAAACAUACUUUGGCAUACACACUUCUGUUGACGACCAUAACAGUAUGAUGUUUUCAGCUCCAUUUUAAUUUCAAAUUCAUUAAGCAGAUAAUCAUCCAUCGCAUCAAACAAAUGAAAUAAGUCAUGAACUAACUAUUUAGAUUUCUUCACUAAAAUUACUUGUGUUUGGAAGAAGUAGCUUCAGCAAUUUACAAAUAAAAGAUUCAAGAAAGCUGUUUCCCAAAGAAUUGAUAGGUUCAAUGAAGUACAUAUUGCUGCACAACUCAGGCAAUUUUAUGUAAGCAUACUGAAAGGAUUAUAAAUAAAGAAACAAAGUAGAUCAUGUUUGUGGGAAAUUCAGGUUCAAUUUUCUCUUUUUACAAAUAAAAAAGAAGAGGGAAGGAUUAAACACCCUCAGCAUCAAAAUUAUAAACAAAGAAAUGAAAGAAUCGAUAUAGAUCAAAAUUAAAAAUCACCUUGAUUCAAAAGUCGGCUACAUAUAGGAAGGACUCGACCAAAAGGUACAAGCUUGUGGUGCUCUUCUAGCAGCUCUGUCAAAUACUGACCACUAUCAACAUCUGGGGUUGUUCUUAUAAGUGGAGACAGAGUUCUUGCAGGUGAAAAAUUCUGUGUGUAUGAGCCAGACAUGAAUAUGGUCUUCAAAGAAACACACAGAGAGACAAAGGGAAGAAGAAGAAGGGUAGGCAAAGUCCUGCCCCCUAAACAGUGAAAAGGAAAAGAAAAAGAGAGGA
RNAcentral lists this unclassified non-coding RNA (2519 nucleotides) under Hevea brasiliensis (rubber tree). The record is from RNAcentral. Lineage: Eukaryota; Viridiplantae; Streptophyta; Magnoliopsida; Malpighiales; Euphorbiaceae.